Molecule: small nuclear RNA, 110 nt
Filed under: Notamacropus eugenii (tammar wallaby)
Lineage: Eukaryota; Metazoa; Chordata; Mammalia; Diprotodontia; Macropodidae
Source: RNAcentral
AAAGUGCUAGCACAUACAUUUAAUAUAUUAAAAUUGGAAUGAUGCAGAGAAGUUUAGCAUUGUCUAUGCAUGCAGAUCACAUGCAAAUUUAUAAAGUUUUCCAUAUUUUA